This 1070-nucleotide unclassified non-coding RNA is filed under the name Hevea brasiliensis (rubber tree). Lineage: Eukaryota; Viridiplantae; Streptophyta; Magnoliopsida; Malpighiales; Euphorbiaceae. The record is from RNAcentral.
GUGAUGAUUGUGUUGUUGAAAUCAAUGAAACUGGCACAAAACUGAAGUACAAACCUGGAAUUAUUAUGGGAGGAAGACAUUUAGUUCAUGAUUGUGGUGUCAGUCGCUCCAUUAGCUACUUCUUGGAACCGUUGAUUGUGCUCGGUUUGUUUGGAAAGAAACCACUCACCAUCAGGCUUAAAGGGAUCACAAAUGAUUCAAAGGACCCAUCUAUUGAUACUUUUCGAUCAACUACUUUGCCUAUAUUGAAGCAAUUUGGAGUCCCUGCAGAAGGUUUGGAACUGAAAAUUGAGAGUCGGGGAGUCGCUCCUAAAGGUGGUGGAGAAGUAGUUCUUUCAGUCCCUAUGGUCCCGAAUAGUUUAAAGGCUGUUAAAUGGGUUGAUGAAGGUCUGGUGAAGAGAAUUAGAGGUGUUUCCUUUUCAACUAGGGUCUCUGUUCAGUUUGAGAAUACCAUGAUACACGCAGCUCGUGGAAUCUUGAAUCCUUUGCUUUCAGAUGUUCACAUCUUUACAGAUCAUAAAGCUGGAGCACAAGCCGGAAUGUCACCUGGCUACGGAAUUUCUUUAGUUGCAGAGACUACAUCUGGUUGUGUCGUAUCUGUUGAUACUGCAGUUUCUUAUUCAAGAGGAGAAGAUGAUGCUGACCUAGAGGAUGAUAGGAAAGAUCUGAUCCCUGCUGAGGAAGUUGGCGAGCAAAUAGCUUCUGCACUACUUGGGGAAAUUAAACAGGGGGGAGUCGUUGAUUCAACACAUCAGGGACUGCUGUUUCUUCUAUGUGCCUUGUGUCCGAAAGAUGUUUCAGAAGUUCGAGUUGGGAAGCUGUCACCCUACGGAAUAGAAGCAUUAAGGCACAUCAGAGAUUUUUUGGGUGUUAAGUUUGUCAUGAAACCUGAUGCCUCCACAGGAACUGUCAAUCUUAUGUGUCUUGGCUCUGGAUUUCAGAAUUUAUCCAGAAAAGUAUCAUGAUAAAGAAUUGGGUGGUUUCAUAGAUGGAAAAGUGCGACGCCUCUGUAUCAGCAUAUUCUGAAUGGCUCGACAUUCAUCAAUGGGGUGGUUUAGAGUGAAAUCAAG